GUGGGGAAUCUUCCGCAAUGGACGAAAGUCUGACGGAGCAACGCCGCGUGAGUGAAGAAGGCCUUCGGGUCGUAAAGCUCUGUCAUCAGGGACGAACGGCCGGUGGAGUGGAAAGCCACCGGAUUGACGGUACCUGAGAAGGAAGCCACGGCUAACUACGUGCCAGCAGCCGCGGUAAUACGUAGGUGGCAAGCGUUGUCCGGAAUUAUUGGGCGUAAAGCGCGCGCAGGUGGGAUCUUAAGUCCAUUUUGAAAGUUCGGAGCUCAACUCCGUGAUGGGAUGGAAACUGGGAUUCUUGAGUACCGGAGAGGAAAGCGGAAUUCCCCGUGUAGCGGUGAAAUGCGUAGAUAUGGGGAGGAACACCAGUGGCGAAGGCGGCUUUCUGGACGGUGUCUGACACUGAGGCGCGAAAGCUAGGGGAGCGAACGGGAUUAGAUACCCCGGUAGUCC
RNAcentral lists this ribosomal RNA (450 nucleotides) under uncultured bacterium. RNAcentral's name for it is "partial 16S ribosomal RNA". It matches the Rfam family "Bacterial small subunit ribosomal RNA", at positions 354 to 796 of the family's 1533-position model. The record is from RNAcentral.